GACGAACGCUGGCGGCGUGCCUAAUACAUGCAAGUUGAGCGCUGAAGGUUGGUACUUGUACCAACUGGAUGAGCAGCGAACGGGUGAGUAACGCGUGGGGAAUCUGCCUUUGAGCGGGGGACAACAUUUGGAAACGAAUGCUAAUACCGCAUAAAAACUUUAAACACAAGUUUUAAGUUUGAAAGAUGCAAUUGCAUCACUCAAAGAUGAUCCCGCGUUGUAUUAGCUAGUUGGUGAGGUAAAGGCUCACCAAGGCGAUGAUACAUAGCCGACCUGAGAGGGUGAUCGGCCACAUUGGGACUGACACGGCCCAAACUCCUACGGGAGGCAGCAGUAGGGAAUCUUCGGCAAUGGACGAAAGUCUGACCGAGCAACGCCGCGUGAGUGAAGAAGGUUUUCGGAUCGUAAAACUCUGUUGGUAGAGAAGAACGUUGGUGAGAGUGGAAAGCUCAUCAAGUGACGGUAACUACCCAGAAAGGGGCGGCUAACUACGUG
RNAcentral lists this ribosomal RNA (495 nucleotides) under uncultured bacterium. RNAcentral's name for it is "partial 16S ribosomal RNA". It matches the Rfam family "Bacterial small subunit ribosomal RNA", at positions 28 to 507 of the family's 1533-position model. The record is from RNAcentral.